GCCUAGUUAGCUUAGUUGGUAGUGCGUCUGCCUUGUAAGCGCUAGGCUGCGGGUUCUAUUCUCGCCCGGGGCG
Molecule: transfer RNA, 73 nt
Filed under: Diaphorina citri (Asian citrus psyllid)
Lineage: Eukaryota; Metazoa; Arthropoda; Insecta; Hemiptera; Psyllidae
Rfam family: tRNA
About the family: Transfer RNA (tRNA) molecules are approximately 80 nucleotides in length.
Source: Rfam by way of RNAcentral